ACUCAUAGCCUAGAUAAAUAAAUGCGAGUUAGCAAACCUAACUUUAAAAAGGGGCAACAUUAGGUUAAGGAACUAUUUAAUGUUGACAUUUUCUUAAUACUGUUAAAUUACUAUAACUAACUACAACUGUCCAGCCUCAUUUGUAAGAAAAACAUUUUAGUUUUCAUCAGUUGAUUGAAAUGAAGGUCGCAGCUCUCCUUGUUCUGGUUUGUCUUGCUAACUUCUACAGCUCAUCAAACGGUUGCUGCCAACGGACAGGUGAACCAUGCAUGGUCCAAGUUGACUGUUGUGGCGAUAACAAUUGCGAAUUAAUGGGCCGUUUUGAAGGUACCUGUGAUCACAUGUACACCAUAGUUCGAGGAUGAAAGACAACUGCCAAGAUGUUCUAAAUAUAUGAUACUAACAACAGUUGCGUCAUGUCGUUUUUAUGUUACUUUAUUUGAUGUAAUCUUUUUCUCACUGGAGAAUUAUAUAAGAAUAUUAGGUA
Molecule: long non-coding RNA, 487 nt
Organism: Physella acuta
Lineage: Eukaryota; Metazoa; Mollusca; Gastropoda; Physidae
Source: RefSeq, a predicted model, not a curated record